UACGUAGGUGGCGAGCGUUGUCCGGAAUUACUGGGUGUAAAGCGCGCGUAGGCGGGAGGCCAAGUCCGCUGUGAAAUCGCCCGGCUCAACUGGGCGCGGUCGGUGGAAACUGGUCACCUGGAGGACGGUAGAGGCGAGUGGAAUUCCCGGUGUAGUGCUGAAAUGCGUAGAGAUCGGGAGGAACACCAGUGGCGAAGGCGGCUCGCUGGGCCGGCCCUGACGCUGAGGCGCGAAGGCGUGGGGAGCGAGCGGG
This 253-nucleotide ribosomal RNA is filed under the name uncultured bacterium. RNAcentral describes it as "partial 16S ribosomal RNA". It matches the Rfam family "Bacterial small subunit ribosomal RNA", at positions 524 to 776 of the family's 1533-position model. The record is from RNAcentral.